ACAGUGGCGGACGGGUGAGUAACGCGUGGGUAACCUGCCUCAUACAGGGGGAUAACAGUUGGAAACGGCUGCUAAUACCGCAUAAGCGCACAGUACCGCAUGGUACGGUGUGAAAAACUCCGGUGGUAUGAGAUGGACCCGCGUCUGAUUAGGUAGUUGGUGGGGUAACGGCCUACCAAGCCGACGAUCAGUAGCCGACCUGAGAGGGUGACCGGCCACAUUGGGACUGAGACACGGCCCAA
Molecule: ribosomal RNA, 242 nt
Filed under: uncultured bacterium
Lineage: Bacteria
Description: partial 16S ribosomal RNA
Rfam family: Bacterial small subunit ribosomal RNA
Source: RNAcentral